AAGACUGGAGAAGAGUCAAGUUUGGAGGGAAAGUCAACCAGUUUCAUUUUAUAUGAGGUGCCUUUGGAACAUGCAUAUGACCCUUUUCAAGUCCCUUCUGCAUUUGUGAAUCCCUGAUCUGUCCCAGGUGAGUAAGGGAACCACUUUUCCUAUAUCCUGAUGAGUCUUUUUUCUAUCCUAUCAUAGGCAAUGAUGCCUCAGCAGAGGAAGAAUCUUUUCUGAGAAGGAACCAGGGAGAGUCUAUCCUGUUCCACAUAGGCAAAGAUUUUGGAAAUAAGACUCUAUCGAUUGAAUGGAAUUUUCUGACUGAGAAUAUACGCCUACUCAAACUCUGGCCAGAUCAAAGCAAGCCAAUGUGGAUCAAUACUCAGCAGAGAUUCAAAAGCAGACUAUUUAUACAUGACUUAAGUUCUCUGAUGAUCACAAAUCUGACCUCUAAAGAUAGUGGAAAUUAUGAAGCUCACAUUAAAUCAGUCUUGGGAAAGGUACUCACAGAACAAACAUAUCACAUACAGGAAAGAAUGGGCCA
RNAcentral lists this long non-coding RNA (529 nucleotides) under Sarcophilus harrisii (Tasmanian devil). Its description in RNAcentral is "lncRNA (ENSSHAG00000021028.1)". Lineage: Eukaryota; Metazoa; Chordata; Mammalia; Dasyuromorphia; Dasyuridae. The record is from RNAcentral.